This 531-nucleotide ribosomal RNA is filed under the name uncultured bacterium. RNAcentral describes it as "bacterial SSU rRNA". It matches the Rfam family "Bacterial small subunit ribosomal RNA", at positions 356 to 896 of the family's 1533-position model. The record is from RNAcentral.
GGGGAAUAUUGCACAAUGGGCGGAAGCCUGAUGCAGCAACGCCGCGUGCGGGAUGACGGCCUUCGGGUUGUAAACCGCUUUCAGCAGGGGCGAAGCUUGUGGUGACGGUACCUGCAGAAGAAGCACCGGCUAACUACGUGCCAGCAGCCGCGGUGAUACGUAGGGUGCGAGCGUUGUCCGGAUUUAUUGGGCGUAAAGAGCUCGUAGGUGGUUGAUCGCGUCGGAAGUGAAAACUUGGGGCUUAACCCUGAGCGUGCUUUCGAUACGGGUUGACUUGAGGAAGGUAGGGGAGAAUGGAAUUCCUGGUGGAGCGGUGGAAUGCGCAGAUAUCAGGAGGAACACCAGUGGCGAAGGCGGUUCUCUGGACCUUUCCUGACGCUGAGGAGCGAAAGCGUGGGGAGCGAACAGGCUUAGAUACCCUGGUAGUCCACGCUGUAAACGGUGGGUACUAGGUGUGGGGUCCAUUCCACGGAUUCCGUGCCGUAGCUAACGCAUUAAGUACCCCGCCUGGGGAGUACGGCCGCAAGGCUA